GCGAGCCGGGUCCAGGGCGCGCGACCCCAAAUAGUGCCGGCCCCAUUCCGCGGGGAGACGAAGGGACGGGUCGACUGGGGCCGGGAGGAGGGGGCGGGAUGGGGAGGGGGCCUGGAGCGGAGGGAACCGGCUCCUCCGGUCGGCCGGAGAUAACGCGCGCACGCGCCGGAGCGGCUCUGACAACGAGCGCAGGCGGGGAAGCCUCGGCCAGCGCCGGCGUGCGCGCGCGAAUGGGGGCGCGCGCCCCUCGGCGUUCCUGGCUUCUGGGAGAGGGCGCGCAUGCGCCGGCCGCUGCCACCUACGGCGACCCUGGCAUGUGCCAGGGCUUCUCCCCGCCCCCUUCCUCGCUGCACCCGUGGAGAGCGUAGCAGCAGCAUCCACCGCCUAGCAGAGCCGCGGGCCACAGCGGGACGGCACAGUUCCAGCAGGGCAGCGGCUGCGCACGCGGGCGCCGGCUCGCACACAGGCGUAGGCCGCCCUCUACCGCCUGAAGGCCGGAGGCUGAGCGGGGCGCGAGCGGCUCCCGGAUCCCGGGAGGAGAGCCGCCUCCUGAGAAUGCUGUGCUCCCUACAGCGCUGGGAACGGACCGGCCCGUGCCAGCUCAGUCGGCUGCCCUAGGGGGCACCCGCACUAGAGGUUUUGAAGCUGGCUCCUUGCUACUUUAGGGGUGGGAGCUGCUGCUGCUCAGCCCCUGCAGCCCGCGUUUGGCCGCUUGGCUGCAGCUUCCAGCGCGAUCCUACAAUGGCAUCGCUCCCCCAGGAGACUCAGCGAAGCCCUACUUUAUCUUGUGAGAGCUGUUUCCACAUUCACUCUAAGAGAAAGACCGCCCCCCCACGAGGGCCUGAGUUCGAUGCCCGGCCUCUCCCGACCCGCGGCUGCGACAGUCCCUCUGAGGCGGAAGUUUAUUCAGUAUGGGAAAGAGAACAGCACGGGGAGAGGGGAGAGGCUUUGCCCUAGGAUGUGUCCUACCCGCUCGGACUCGGAAAAUUCCCGGCGCCCGCGAUGCAGAGCAGUGGGCCGAAGGGCUGCCUCAGAGCAGCCCAGACCGCCAGCUGAGCGGGAGGACCUGAGCGCGCCGCCCCAGCACACAAAGUAGUCGCGGGCCGAGGGGUGCCGCCGAGGCCAAUCAGAGCCGCGCGCCGCGUGAGUGGAGUGCGAGCCGGCCAAUCAGAGGGCCGGAAGAUGAGCUUCCCGUUCCAAACUCUUCCCUGUAGCCUUGGGACCCAGAUCCCAAGCCUGGGGCGCUUUACGGUGGGAAAGCGAAAUGGUGCCCUGAAGACAAGAAUCAUUUCUCAAGGCUUGGGCAUUUUAAAGUACGUACCGGGGACACUUAUCCCAAAACAAGUAGCGGCGGCCUUUUAGAUGUUAAAUAUUAAAAGAUCACAGAAAAGAGAUUUAAGAGGCAGUGGCCUGUCAAGAUUGCAAUCUGCCUAAUAGUCAAUAAAUUCACAUAUUUUUUGAGAAUAUGUACCAGGAACUCUAUCUUCUUAUGUACCAGGAACUCUAUCACAGAUACACAAAUAAGGUACUGCUGAUUCCGAACAAGAAAAUCCCUUGUCCUCAAGCAGCUCAGGUUCUGAGGGAGGUUUUGCUAGACCCUGUGACUCGUAUUUAUUGUCAGCUCUUUAAACAAAAAGCACUCUAUGAAGUGCUGUACUUUACAGUCGUUUUUAUGAUUUUUAUCUCCCUGUGAGAAAAGAAAAUUGAAAGGAAAGUAGAGUGACUUAUCCAAGAUCACACAAAAGAUGUUCUAGCUCAGUUUGGGUGUCAUCAUUCAAUAAAAUUAUUCAAUAACAAUUU
Chlorocebus sabaeus (green monkey) is the source of this 1800-nucleotide non-coding RNA. The record is from RefSeq and is a predicted model, not a curated record. Lineage: Eukaryota; Metazoa; Chordata; Mammalia; Primates; Cercopithecidae.